This 135-nucleotide small nuclear RNA is filed under the name Mesocricetus auratus (golden hamster). RNAcentral describes it as "U1 spliceosomal RNA (ENSMAUG00000004555.1)". It matches the Rfam family "U1 spliceosomal RNA", at positions 30 to 166 of the family's 166-position model. From Rfam's summary of the family: U1 is a small nuclear RNA (snRNA) component of the spliceosome (involved in pre-mRNA splicing). The record is from RNAcentral. Lineage: Eukaryota; Metazoa; Chordata; Mammalia; Rodentia; Cricetidae.
ACAUGAACAAGGUAGUUUCCCAGGGUGAAGUUCAAACGCUGCCCUCUGAUGUGCUGACCCCUGAGGUUUCCCCAGAUGUGGGAAACUUAACUACAUAGUUUGUGGUAGUUUGAGCUGCAUUCACACUCUCUCCUA